AUGGGCGCUUCCCUCCUGGUACUCUACACCGUUGGCAGGUCUCCCCUCCUCCCCCUCAGGCCUCCUGCUCUUGCUCCCCGCUGGCCCUGGGUCACAGGUUUAAAGCUGGAAGAAGCUCAUCUUGAAGAUAAGGAAACAGAGUGGUGUGGUAGUGGGUGCUCCGGCCAUCUUGGGAGAAUGGACGCCUCCCUCUCUGGGGAGCCCCGAGAAAGGACGUGGUCCAAUGGAAGCCAGUUGCGUUGUAGAAGCCGCCUGGUGAAGGUCCAGACACGUUGUCUGGCCUUUGUGCCCUCCCUUUCAGUCCUCCAUCCGAGAUCUUCCUUUCCUUCUCCUUUUUGAACCAGGACUGAGUUUCCAGAGUCCCAGGAGAGAGUUGAGCUCAUCAUUACUAAUUUGGCCGUUAAAAAAAUAUGGGUACCAUUUGGAUGGGAGCAAUUCAAGUCAGUUCUACUUGACUCAAAGAUAUGUAGUUAUAUCAGUACUGCUGCUCACUCCCCCAGUGCAUAUUGUGACCCAUCUCCAACUCAGAAGAGGAC
RNAcentral lists this long non-coding RNA (536 nucleotides) under Monodelphis domestica (gray short-tailed opossum). Its description in RNAcentral is "lncRNA (ENSMODG00000030416.2)". The record is from RNAcentral. Lineage: Eukaryota; Metazoa; Chordata; Mammalia; Didelphimorphia; Didelphidae.